GUUUUUUAAAAAAACGCCGCAAAAAAAAAUAAUUGUUUACCUUGAACAGUGUCGUUUUCCUGCUAUGUUUGCUUCUUUCUCAUGCCCGACGCCUCCCUGCAACCCAAAAUAGAUUUCCCAAUUCUCUAAUUUCUUCUGAUCCCUAAAUUUUCCCCAAAAGAAUCAGCACCCAAGAAACCUAAGACCAGACCCCUUUCAUGCAAACGGAAACUGUCUCUACAAUUCCAAUUCAUGCGUUUUUAAGCAAGGAUAUAUAAGUUGAUAAGCUUUGGAAGCCAUUUGAGCAACGCCUGCCAUGAACAAGCAUGUAAUGGAAUCUUCAUGUUCAUAGGGAGAGGUUUGCUUUAGAUGUCUUUGAUGCCUAUAUCAAGAAAGCAUUGGGUAAAAAAUGGAGAAACCACAAAAGCAUUUUGAAAAAAGAAUAUUUUAAAAAACCCAUAAGCUUCGAAGAAAAAUUGCAAAAUGUCCCACCGGGAAUGCUGAGGUACCAAUGGGAAGAUGCGGUUCGACUUUGGAAUUCGAAGAAAGGAGAGGACCGUGAGCGAGUUGGAACAAGCGCAGUAAAACAAAAAUUUACGCA
Molecule: long non-coding RNA, 580 nt
Organism: Gossypium arboreum
Lineage: Eukaryota; Viridiplantae; Streptophyta; Magnoliopsida; Malvales; Malvaceae
Exons: 4
Source: RefSeq, a predicted model, not a curated record